Molecule: ribosomal RNA, 1081 nt
Filed under: uncultured Rhizaria
Lineage: Eukaryota
Description: SSU rRNA
Rfam family: Eukaryotic small subunit ribosomal RNA
Source: RNAcentral
CGGUAAUUCCAGCUCCAAUAGCGUAUACUAAAGUUGUUGCAGUUAAAAAGCUCGUAGUUGGAUUUCUGCGGGGACGGAGCGGCCGGACGCAACUUGCGUCUCGAGCUAGCGCUUUCCCCGCAUCCUGCCGCGAACCGUGCUACCAUUAGUUUGGUGGCGCUGGGGAUCGGCUCGAUUACUUUGAGAAAAAUAGAGUGUUCAAAGCAGGCCACAUGCCUUGAAUAAGUUAGCAUGGAAUAAUGACUAAGGACUUCGGUUCUAUUUUGUUGGUGUUCGGGACUGAAGUAAUGAUUGAUAGGGACAGUUGGGGCGGUCUGUAUUCCAAAGCGAGAGGUGAAAUUCUUAGACCUUCGGAAGACAAACAGCUGCGAAAGCGUUCCGCAAGGAUGUUCCCUUUGAUCAAGAACGAAAGUUGGGGGAUCGAAGACGAUCAGAUACCGUCGUAGUCUCAACUAUAAACUAUACCAGCUAGGGAUCGGUCAACGUUUAAUUAUUCGACUUGAUCGGCACCUUAUGAGAAAUCAAAGCAUCUGGGUUCCGGGGGGAGUAUGGUCGCAAGGCUGAAACUUAAAGGAAUUGACGGAAGGGCACCACCAGCCGUGGAGCCUGUGGCUUAAUUUGACUCAACACGGGAAAACUUACCAGGUCCAGACAUAGUAAGGAUUGACAGAUUGAUAGCUCUUUCUUGAUUCUGUGGGUGGUGGUGCAUGGCCGUUCUUAGUUGGUGGAGUGAUUUGUCUGGUUAAUUCCGUUAACGAACGAGACCCCAGCCUGCUAAAUAGCGCGGCUGAGCUUUGCUCGGUGCGAGCUUCUUAGAGGGACUAUGAUGCGCGAUAGCACAUGGAAGUUUGGGGCAAUAACAGGUCUGUGAUGCCCUUAGAUGUUCUGGGCCGCACACGGGCUACACUGGCGCCUGCAACGAGCAUAUCAGCUGGCCCGAGAGGGUCUUGGCUAAUCUUUUGAACCGGCGCCGUGCUUGGGAUUGACCUUUGCAAUUGUUGGUCAUGCAACGAGGAAUGCCUUGUAAACGCGAGUCAUCAGCUCGCAUUGAAUACGUCCCUGCCCCUUGUACACACCGCCC